GUUAGUUCUUUAAACCCAAAGAAUUUGGCGGUGUUUUAGUCUAUUCAGAGGAACUUGCCCUUUAAUCGAUAGUCCUCGUUUUAUCUAGCUUAUUUUUGUUUUAGUAUGUAUAUCGCCGUUAUAAGUUUAUUUUUUUAGGAUUUUAAUUUACUUAUUAUUUUAUUAAAUUUUAUUUCAGGUCAAGGUGCAGUUUAUAAUUAAGUAGUGGUGAGUUACAAUAUUUUUGAAUAAAUGAAUUUUGAUUUUAAAAAUUAGAUGAAGGUGGAUUUGAUAGUAAUUUUAAUGAUAGAGUUAAUUUGAUUUUUAGCUCUGGAACAAGUACACAUCGCCCGUCGCUCU
RNAcentral lists this ribosomal RNA (339 nucleotides) under Pylaemenes coronatus. RNAcentral's name for it is "partial 12S ribosomal RNA". The record is from RNAcentral. Lineage: Eukaryota; Metazoa; Arthropoda; Insecta; Phasmatodea; Heteropterygidae.